CCCUUAGGUGUUCUGGGCCGCACGCGUGCUACACUGAGUGGAUCAGCGGGUCAGGUUGCGCGAAAGUGUUUCCUAAUCUUUAAAUCCGCUCGUGAUGGGGAUUGACGGUUGCAAUUUUCCGUCAUGAACGAGGAAUACCUUGUAAGCGCGGGUCAUCAUCCCGCGCUGAAUACGUCCCUGCCCUUUGUACACACCGCCCGUCGCUCCUACCGAUUGAGUGGUCCGGUGAGGCUUUGGGAUCUGAGCGGAAAGAGCGUUUCGCUGUUUCUGCCCGGAAAACUCAGUCGAACCUUAUCAUUUAGAGGAAGGAGAAGUCGUAACA
RNAcentral lists this ribosomal RNA (322 nucleotides) under uncultured eukaryote. Its description in RNAcentral is "partial 18S ribosomal RNA". It matches the Rfam family "Eukaryotic small subunit ribosomal RNA", at positions 1470 to 1796 of the family's 1831-position model. The record is from RNAcentral.